AGCAACGUCAGUGUUAAUGCAUCUGAGAUCACCAAGGUUGAAACUCUCACUAUUGGUGAAAUUUUCCAGUUCCUGCAAAAAAAACCAGCCCAGAAGGCAAACUUCCAUUGCAUAGCAACCAUUGAUGCUGUGGAACAACUUAAAAGCUGGUACUACAUUGCCUGCACUACAUGCAACACAAAAGCAAUCCGAGGACCUACUUCAUUAGUGUGCAACAAAUGCAACAACCACAAUGCUAUUGGAGUAAUCUAGUAUCGGGUCGAGAUAUCCGUCUCCGACAAUGACAACAAAGCCACGUUUGUUCUCCUCGAUGAUGCUGGAACUCAGCUAAUUGGGAGAAAAGCUGCAGAGAUAGUUGAAGACUACGUCGACGCUGUUGGGGUUGGCGGUGCUGGAGAUAACAUACCACUCCCAGAAAGCUUAUAUGAUGCAAUUGCCAAGACAUACAUAUUCAAGGUGAAAGUGGAUGAAUACAACUUCAGUGCUGCUAGGCAAACUAUCACUGUGACUAAGAUUGUCCAGCCAGCUGAUCUCCCCAAAAUGCCUUCACCAAAUACAAGAGCGGAGCUUGAAGACAAAAACAGCGACACACUGCCACAGACUAAGAGUACUAAGU
This is a long non-coding RNA of Eutrema salsugineum, 616 nucleotides long. RefSeq lists it as uncharacterized. NCBI's taxonomy places the organism in Eukaryota, Viridiplantae, Streptophyta, Magnoliopsida, Brassicales, Brassicaceae. The record is from RefSeq and is a predicted model, not a curated record. The transcript is spliced from 4 exons.